This is a non-coding RNA of Pelobates cultripes (western spadefoot toad), 347 nucleotides long. Lineage: Eukaryota; Metazoa; Chordata; Amphibia; Anura; Pelobatidae. The record is from the annotation of a GenBank genome assembly.
GAGCCACGAAGGCUUACUUGGACAUCUGGGGGGAAUUCUUGCGGGAUUUUAACGGGAAAGUGUUCUUUCGGGAGCCGGCGGCGUCUUCUCAGGAGUUGGAGCUGUUUACGGACGCAUCGGGGAGUGUCGGGUUUGGGGCUUACUUAUCGGGUCAAUGGUGCGCGGGUACUUGGCCAGGGGCCUGGAAGGCCAGCCCACUGAUACGCAAACUAUCGUUCCUGGAAUUGUUCCCGUUGGGGCGCUGUCACUAUGGGGUCCACAGUUGAGGGAUUAGAAGGUGGUAUUCUUUACAGACAAUAUGGCAGUGGUAGAUGCAGUGAACAGGCUAUCAGCGUCCUCUAUCCCGG